GGAGGGAUCAUUAACACGUUUUAAUACACGUUUUAUUACCAACCAACCACGUGAACUAUUGAAAUAUAUCCGACCUGAAAAACUGAGAAUCUGUCUAAUAUACACUUAGUGAUGAGUGCUCUUUGGUUUACUAAAGAGUGCGGUGUGUGUUAGGCUAGUAACACAUAUAUGUAUGUUUAUUUAUACAUAUAUGAUUUUACAGGACCUCUUUCUUUCAGGCUUUAAUCUACCAUUAUUCUUUUUCAUCACUAGGAAUGAACAAACCCCUUUCACCACUUUAUACCUACUUGACUGAUAUACAUCUUAUUUUUCCUAUUAAUUUCAUUAUUAAUAUUAAAGAUCUGAUAAAUUUAAUCAAAUAUCUAAGCACAACUCUUAGCAACGGAUAUCUUGGUUCUCGCAACGAUGAAGAACGCAGCGAAAUGCGAUAUGUAAUGCGAAUUGCAGAAUUCAGUGAAUCAUCAAAUCUUUGAACGCAAAUGGCGGUCUCGGGUUAGUCCUGAGACCACGCCUCUCUCAGUAUCGGUUCAACCUCACCUCGGAUGCGUAGGCAGAUACAAUUCUUUUUAUUAAAAACAAAAAGAGUUGUGUGUUGAUUACGUUUGCACCUCCGGAGAAUGAGAGUAAUAUUGCUUGACCAGAACACACUGUCAAAGGUGUGUUGUGGAUUGACGCGGUAUUUCUCUUGAAAAUUGUUGAGCUGUGAUCGAAUAGUAACCUUGAACAAUUCAUUUUGUUCAAUAGCCUAUUCUGCUAUUUCAACACUUUUACUAGUGAACGUGGAUAAUUUCAUGUCUUAACGGAUGUGAAUUGAAACGUCUCACAUAAGUUUAAGAGUUGAUUUUUUAUAUAGCGGAGCAGUGCGAAAUAUCUAAUUGAUCAUUCUAUCAAGCGAAGUGAAUUAGCUUUUAAUUGUAUUAAAAUUUUAACUCAAUUUCUCGAAUUAGAUCUGAGAUGAAGCGAGGAGACCCCCUGAAUUUAAGCAUAUUAUUAAGGGGAGGAAAAGGAACUAACAAGGAUUCCCCCAGUAACGGCGAGUGAAGCGGGAUGAGCUCAAGUUGAGAAUCGGUGAUCCAUGCGGGUCGUUCCGAAUUGUACCCUAGAGACGUGUGAUCAGCGUGUGACCCAGGUCCAAGUCCUUUGGAAGAAGGCAUCAGAGAGGGUGAGAAUCCCGUUCUAACACCUGGAGCUCGCCGCGUACGAUGCAUGUUCACAGAGUCGAGUUGUUUGGGAUUGCAGCUCUAAAACGGUGGUAAGGUUCAUCGAAAGCUAAAUACAGGCGAGAGACCGAUAGCGAACAAGUACCGUGAGGGAAAGAUGAAAAGAACUUUGAAAAGAGAGUUAAAAAGUACUUGAAAUUGCUAAGAGGGAAGCGCUAAAAACCAGUGUGACUGCUCUCAUUCUGCCUAUCCAUCUCUUUGUUUGACUGCGGCGUCUAGUUGGCAACUCUAGUGCUGUAGUGAUAAAUGAGGAGUGGGUGGGUCCUGUGAGAGUAGCGCGUCAGGAUCAGUUCAGAUUGUGCAGGAGAGGAUGUGGAUAGAAGGUAGGGUUGGCAACAACCUGUUAUAUCUGUCUCAUUCGACUGUGCUCCGGACUGAGGAAAUAGUAAUGGUGCGCCACUAGGCUUGUACCUCUGUUGCUUUGUAGCUCGAAUGGUUUGGAUGACAAUGUCAUGCGGUCGUUCGAGUUGCACACGCAGUGGAACGUCUCGAUGCACCCAUCACGAUUCUGACUAAAUGGUUUUUAUCGACCCGUCUUGAAACACGGACCAAGGAGUCUAACAUAUAUGCGAGUAUUUGGGUGAAUUAAACCCGCAUGCGCAAUGAAAGUAAAAGUGAGCUUGUCUCACUGAGGUAGGAAUCCUGGGUUCAUCCCUGGGAGGCACUAUCGACCGAUCGUCACUUGUGAAAGAUUUGAGUCAGAGCAUAUCUGUUGGGACCCGAAAGAUGGUGAUCUAUGCCUGAACAGGGUGAAGCCAGGGGAAACUCUGGUGGAGGCUCGUAGCGAUACUGACGUGCAAAUCGUUCGUCUGAUUUGGGUAUAGGGGCGAAAGACUAAUCGAACUAUCUAGUAGCUGGUUCCCUC
Molecule: unclassified non-coding RNA, 2085 nt
Filed under: uncultured fungus
Lineage: Eukaryota; Fungi
Description: sequence contains 18S rRNA gene, ITS1, 5.8S rRNA gene, ITS2, 28S rRNA gene
Rfam family: Eukaryotic large subunit ribosomal RNA (bases 946-2085)
Source: RNAcentral